GCUAGUUGGUGGAGUAAUAGCCUACCAAGGCAAUGAUCUAUAGCUGAUCUGAGAGGAUGAUCAGCCACACUGGAACUGAGAUACGGUCCAGACUCCUACGGGAGGCAGCAGUGGGGAAUAUUGGACAAUGGGCGAAAGCCUGAUCCAGCCAUGCCGCAUGAGUGAAGAAGGCCUUUGGGUUGUAAAGCUCUUUUAGUGAGGAAGAUAAUGACGGUACUCACAGAAGAAGUCCUGGCUAACUCCGUGCCAGCAGCCGCGGUAAUACGGAGAGGGCUAGCGUUAUUCGGAAUUAUUGGGCGUAAAGGGCGCGUAGGCUGAUUAAUAAGUUAAAAGUGAAAUCCCGAGGCUUAACCUUGGAAUUGCUUUUAAAACUAUUAAUCUAGAGAUUGAAAGAGGAUAGAGGAAUUCCUGAUGUAGAGGUAAAAUUCGUAAAUAUUAGGAGGAACACCAGUGGCGAAGGCGUCUAUCUGGUUCAAAUCUGACGCUGAAGCGCGAAGGCGUGGGGAGCAAACAGGAUUAGAUACCCUGGUAGUCCACGCUGUAAACGAUGAAUGUUAAAUAUGGGAAGUUUA
Molecule: ribosomal RNA, 572 nt
Filed under: Wolbachia endosymbiont of Aleurodicus dispersus
Lineage: Bacteria; Pseudomonadati; Pseudomonadota; Alphaproteobacteria; Rickettsiales; Anaplasmataceae
Description: bacterial SSU rRNA
Rfam family: Bacterial small subunit ribosomal RNA
Source: RNAcentral